This is a long non-coding RNA of Ctenopharyngodon idella (grass carp), 349 nucleotides long. RefSeq lists it as uncharacterized. The record is from RefSeq and is a predicted model, not a curated record. Lineage: Eukaryota; Metazoa; Chordata; Actinopteri; Cypriniformes; Xenocyprididae. The transcript is spliced from 2 exons.
UCCACAGCAACUACAUAAAUUUAUCCACUAACCAUUCAGAAAUGUCUAAAAGUUGUAACUUCUUCCUGAGUCUCUCCAUCAGUGUCGACUCCGGUUUGAACAAUGUAAGGCUGAACACCGUCGUCAUUUUGGCUGCGUGAGAUUCUUCAGCUUUGUUGUUCGUGAGCUGUUAAAGCUCCGCCCUCUUCUGGAAAGGGGGCGGGAGCAGCAGCUCAUUUGCAUUUAAAGGGACACACACAAAAACGGCGUGUUUUUGCUCACACCCAAAUAGGGGCAAAUUUGACAAGCUAUAAUAAAUGAUCUGUGGGGUAUUUUGAGCUGAAACUUCAGACACACAUUCUGGGGACAC